Echinops telfairi (small Madagascar hedgehog) is the source of this 122-nucleotide small nucleolar RNA. RefSeq annotates it as small nucleolar RNA SNORA61. Lineage: Eukaryota; Metazoa; Chordata; Mammalia; Afrosoricida; Tenrecidae. The transcript has a single exon. The record is from RefSeq and is a predicted model, not a curated record.
UGCCUCCAGAUCCCUUAUCCAUCAGAUCUGAACACUGGCCCCAGUGGGUGCAAAAGGAGGAAAAGUGAAACGGAAACUGACUUCUAUUCUUUUUGUGACAACUGAGCUAGUUUCAAACAAAC